RNAcentral lists this ribosomal RNA (1418 nucleotides) under uncultured organism. Its description in RNAcentral is "bacterial SSU rRNA". It matches the Rfam family "Bacterial small subunit ribosomal RNA". The record is from RNAcentral.
GGCUCAGGAUGAGCGCUAGCGGUUGGCUUAACACAUGCAAGUCGAACGGUAAGGUCUCGCUUGCGAGAUAACGAGUGGCGCACGGGUGAGUAACGCGUAUGAAACUUGCCGAUAGCCGGGGAAUAGCCCGAGGAAACUUGGAUUAAUACCCCAUAAUAUUUAUAAUACACCUGUUUUAUAGAUUAAAGUUUCGGCGGCUAUUGAUAGUCAUGCGUACCAUUAGUUAGUUGGUGAGGUAAUAGCUCACCAAGGCAUUGAUGGUUAGGGGUUCUAAAAGGAUGAUCCCCCACACUGGUACUGAGACACGGACCAGACUCCUACGGGAGGCAGCAGUGAGGAAUAUUGGGCAAUGGACGGAAGUCUGACCCAGCCAAACCGCGUGCAGGAUGAAGGCUCUACGAGUCGUAAACUGCUUUUGUUCGAGAAGAAAACUUCGGAUUUAUUCGGAAUUGACCGUAUCGGACGAAUAAGCAUCGGCUAACUCCGUGCCAGCAGCCGCGGUAAUACGGAGGAUGCAAGCGUUAUCCGGAUUUAUUAGGUUUAAAGGGUGCGUAGGCUGUAUAGUAAGUCAGUGGUGAAAUCCUGUGGCUUAACCAUAGAACUGCCAUUGAAACUGUUAUACCUGAAUUUAGUUGAGGUAAGCGGAAUGUAUUAUGUAGCGGUGAAAUGCAUAGAUAUAAUACAGAACACCAAUUGCGAAGGCAGCUUGCUAAACUGAAAUUGACGCUGAUGCACGAAAGCGUGGGGAGCGAACAGGAUUAGAUACCCUGGUAGUCCACGCCGUAAACGAUGAACACUCGUUGUGUGCGAUACACUGUACGUGACUGAGCGAAAGCAUUAAGUGUUCCACCUGGGGAUUACGUCAGCAAUGAUGAAACUCAAAGGAAUUGACGGGGGCCCGCACAAGCGGAGGAACAUGUGGUUUAAUUCGAUGAUACGCGAGGAACCUUACCUGGGCUUAAAUGCAUUGCAUUUUCGGAUGUCGUUUAUAGAAAUAUAACUUAAAAUUGCAAGGUGCUGCAUGGUUGUCGUCAGCUCGUGCCGUGAGGUGUCGGGUUAAGUCCCAUAACGAGCGCAACCCCUAUCCUUAGUUGCCAUCAGGUCAGGCUGGGGACUCUAAGGAAACUGCCAUCGUAAGAUGUGAGGAAGGUGGGGAUGACGUCAAAUCAGCACGGCCCUUAUGUCCAGGGCUACACACGUGUUACAAUGGUCGGUACAACGAGCAGCUACUUGGUGACAAGAUGCUAAUCUCCAAAGCCGGUCUCAGUUCGGAUUGAAGUCUGCAAUUCGACCUCACGAAGACGGAUUCGCUAGUAAUCGCGUAUCAGCAAUGACGCGGUGAAUACGUUCCCGGGCCUUGUACACACCGCCCGUCAAGCCAUGGAAGCCGGGGGUACCUGAAGUCUGUCACCGCAAGG